UUCUAUGAUAGGUAUUUACAGCUUCAGUUCAUACGAAUUAUGUUGAUUGUAACCGUUGGUUUGGUGACUUUAUUCUUUCAAAGAGUGUGGACAACGAGAUCGUGUUGUGGGAACCACAAAUGAAAGAGAAUUCCCCUGGAGAGGGUACUGCUGAUGUUAUACUAAGAUACCCGAUUCCGAUGUGCGAUAUUUGGUUUAUCAAGUUUUCUUAUGACCUCCAUUUCAAUUCUGUCGCAAUAGGUAAUCAGGAAGGAAAGAUUUAUGUCUGGGAUUUAAAAACUUGUCCUCCUGUUUUGAUGACAAAGUUAUCACACAAUCAAUCAAAGUCUGUAAUCAGGCAAAC
Molecule: non-coding RNA, 343 nt
Organism: Camelina sativa (false flax)
Lineage: Eukaryota; Viridiplantae; Streptophyta; Magnoliopsida; Brassicales; Brassicaceae
Source: RefSeq, a predicted model, not a curated record